Unclassified non-coding RNA from Erinaceus europaeus (western European hedgehog), 307 nucleotides. Its record names the gene 7SK. It matches the Rfam family "7SK RNA". Rfam says of the family: 7SK was discovered as an abundant small nuclear RNA in the mid-70s but a possible function has only recently been suggested. The record is from Ensembl. Lineage: Eukaryota; Metazoa; Chordata; Mammalia; Eulipotyphla; Erinaceidae.
UGACUGAGGGUGAUCUGGCUGCCAGGGUUGAUUUGGCUUUUCUGGCUGGUUAGACGAGUAUUGCCUUCCUCCCUCACUGCUCCAUGUACAUUCCUCCAGUAGCUACAGGAUCCAUAGCAGAGGACAACCAUCCCCUAACAGAGACGGACUGGUCUUCGGUGUAGGGUGUAUGAGUACCUGAGCUCCCCUGAUAGCUCCCCUCCAAUAAAGCUCUCAAGGCCCAUUUGAAGGGAACUAGGAUAGUCAAGCUUCCAAGACUCCAGAUACAUCCAAAUGAAGUGUGGCAUGUGGCAGUCUGCCUUAGUUA